GGGCGUGUGGCUCAGUGGAAGAGCGCUUCCCUCACACGGAAGAGGUCGCUGGUUCGAGCCCAGCCACGCCCACCA
This 75-nucleotide transfer RNA is filed under the name Armatimonadota bacterium. Its description in RNAcentral is "Armatimonadetes bacterium (marine sediment metagenome) tRNA-Val". It matches the Rfam family "tRNA". Rfam says of the family: Transfer RNA (tRNA) molecules are approximately 80 nucleotides in length. Their secondary structure includes four short double-helical elements and three loops (D, anti-codon, and T loops). The record is from RNAcentral. Lineage: Bacteria; Bacillati; Armatimonadota. RNAcentral also lists the same sequence under 1 other name.